RNAcentral lists this ribosomal RNA (690 nucleotides) under uncultured fungus. RNAcentral's name for it is "bacterial SSU rRNA". It matches the Rfam family "Eukaryotic small subunit ribosomal RNA", at positions 804 to 1518 of the family's 1831-position model. The record is from RNAcentral. Lineage: Eukaryota; Fungi.
UUAGCAUGGAAUAAUGGAAUAGGACGUGUGGUUCUAUUUUGUUGGUAUGCUCGAUGCUCGUGAUGAUUAAUAGGGACAUGCUGCUCGUAGUAGUGAUAGUUGUCAGAGGUGAAAUUCUUGGAUUUAAUGCUCGUUAACUACUGCGAAAGCAUUUGCCAAGGAUGUUUUCAUUAAUCAGGAACAUGCUAUGCUCGUGAUAGUAGUAUCAGAUACCGAUGCUCGAUGCUCGUGAUAGUGUGCCGACUAGGGAUCGGACGGUGUUAUUUUUAGACCCGUUCGGCACCUUACGAGAAAUCAAAUGCUCGUAGAUCCAGGGGGAGUUAGAUGUCGCUCGAGAAACUUAAAGAAAUUGACGGAAGGGCAUGCUCAUGCUGCUGAUAGUCGGCUUAAUUUGACUCAACACGGGGAAUGCUCGCAGGUCCAGACACAAUGCUCGUAGACAGAUUGAGAGCUCUUUCUUGAUUUAUGCUCGUGAUAGUCGUGGCCGUUCUUAGUUGGUGGAGUGAUUUGUCUGCUUAAUUGCGAUAAAUGCUCGUGAUGUGGAUGGCUAAAUAGCCCGUAUUGCUUUGGCAGAUGCUCGUAGGGACAUGCUCGUUAUCGGCUCAAGCCGAUGGAUGCCUGAGGCAAUAACAGGUCUGUGAUGCCCUUAGAUAUUUUCGCGCACGCGCGCUACACUGAUGCUCGCUCCAG